GACGAACGCUGGCGGCGUGCCUAGUACAUGCAAGUAGAACGCACAGUUUAUACCGUAGCUUGCUACACCAUAAACUGUGAGUUGCGAACGGGUGAGUAACGCGUAGGUAACCUGCCUGGUAGCGGGGGAUAACUAUUGGAAACGAUAGCUAAUACCGCAUAAUAUUGAUUAUUGCAUGAUAAUUGAUUGAAAGAUGCUAUUGCAUCACUACCAGAUGGACCUGCGUUGUAUUAGCUAGUAGGUGAGGUAACGGCUCACCUAGGCGACGAUACAUAGCCGACCUGAGAGGGUGAUCGGCCACACUGGGACUGAGACACGGCCCAGACUCCUACGGGAGGCAGCAGUAGGGAAUCUUCGGCAAUGGACGAAAGUCUGACCGAGCAACGCCGCGUGAGUGAAGAAGGUUUUCGGAUCGUAAAGCUCUGUUGUAAGAGAAGAACGGGUGUGAGAGUGGAAAGUUCACACUGUGACGGUAUCUUACCAGAAAGGGACGGCUAACUACGUG
RNAcentral lists this ribosomal RNA (505 nucleotides) under uncultured bacterium. RNAcentral describes it as "partial 16S ribosomal RNA". It matches the Rfam family "Bacterial small subunit ribosomal RNA", at positions 28 to 507 of the family's 1533-position model. The record is from RNAcentral.